Molecule: ribosomal RNA, 466 nt
Filed under: uncultured bacterium
Lineage: Bacteria
Description: partial 16S ribosomal RNA
Rfam family: Bacterial small subunit ribosomal RNA
Source: RNAcentral
ACGAACGCUGGCGGCGUGCUUAACACAUGCAAGUCGAACGGAAAGGCCCUGCUUUUGUGGGGUGCUCGAGUGGCGAACGGGUGAGUAACACGUGAGUAACCUGCCCUUGACUUUGGGAUAACUUCAGGAAACUGGGGCUAAUACCGGAUAGGAGCUCCUGCUGCAUGGUGGGGGUUGGAAAGUUUCGGCGGUUGGGGAUGGACUCGCGGCUUAUCAGCUUGUUGGUGGGGUAGUGGCUUACCAAGGCUUUGACGGGUAGCCGGCCUGAGAGGGUGACCGGCCACAUUGGGACUGAGAUACGGCCCAGACUCCUACGGGAGGCAGCAGUGGGGAAUAUUGCACAAGGGGCGGAAGCCUGAUGCAGCAACGCCGCGUGCGGGAUGACGGCCUUCGGGUGGUAAACCGCUUUCGCCUGUGACGAAGCGUGAGGGACGGUAAUGGGUAAAGAAACACCGGCUAACUACGU